UAAAUGGACAGUCUUCCAAUUAUUAAAUUAAAGAUUCUUAGCUUUAGCAGAUGUUCUAUCUGUUUCUUAUCACAGGCCAUGCUGAAGAUAAGUUUGCUAGUUCCUUAUUGCAUUGUUUGAAUAUUUGCUCAGGUCUGUUUGUAGUUAAAGAUAUUCAACUCCUUGGUUUUACCUGUUCAAGGAUGCUGAUCAAAGUUUGCAAGCAAGAGUCAUCGGUGAAUAUCCAUAUGACCUGCGAGUCAGUUUGGUACAUGAAGUGGUUGAGGAGCUUGAAUGGGUCCACUAGACUAUGAUGAACACCAAAUAAUCUUAACCACGAAAACUGUUCAUUUUCAGUGUGAGAGUAGUUCAUGCAUUUCUUUAGCUCGUACCAAAAGCAUUGCAUGAAAGGCCACGCACGGAAAACUUGAGACUAUGGUUGCUUAAUGUUAAUUAUUGUUUGGUAUGACUAUAGGUGUAGGUGUUGGAAUUUGGGAAACCCAAUAUCUAAGAGUUAAGUCCAUGCAAUUCCUUAAUUCUUACUAAAGGCAUUGCAUGAAAUAAAAUUAGGGACUUUGGCUUGGUGGUCAGGCCACUAGAUUAGGACAUUUAAGUCUUUAAGGCUAAACAUUGGCGUCCCUUUAGAUGUGGUUGGGGAAAAGAAUUUUGAAGCAUGGUCUUCAGGCUUGGCUUUUGGUUCACACCUCAAGAUGUGAGGCCUGCAUGAGACGUAUAUCAUGUUCAAAAUAUUCAUACUUAAGAUUUAUUUACUAUUCAGAAAAUACUCAUUCUAUGGGCUAAUUAAAAAAUAUAUAAAUAAAUAGAAGUUUCACUGAAUAUUGAUUUAAUGGUAUCAUUUUUGGCAUUUGUUUCCUUCUGAAAAUUUCGCGAGAAAAAUUUGGUUACUCUGCAUACUGGAGUGUGUAUGUUAUUGUCAAACUACACCUAGUGGUGCAUUUUAGUUACCUUAUAUGUGUAGGGUAUUCAAUGAUAACUACCUAUUGUUCUUAGGUUAGGCACCAGCCUCACCAUCCUCUGAUCUGAACAUAUUCUCACACUCAUUUACCGAUUAGUAACAGGAAUUUCUAAGUGAAACGAUAAAUUAGAGACAAAGACAAUUCCCAACCUAAAGGAGGCAGAGAUAUUCAAAAUUAUAUCUAAUAGACCUGUUGUCUUUUUGCACAAAAUUUGUUGUGAUCAAUAGACUCGAUUUUAGGGUUUCUAAGGCAAAAUUUAAGAUGUGUAAGUCAUAACUUGUUUGUCAGCUUUUAUUGUUUUAUACUAGGAUUGAACAAAAGCUUCUCCAUUUCAAUCUUUGAAAAAAAAAAAAGCACUAAAUUCUUAAGCCAUCUCUAGUGAGGAAUAAGACCAUUACCUAAGGCUUUGAUACACCGGAGUACAUUAUGCACAAUUAGACUAUACAAUUAGACCUAGAAGGGAGUGAAUAAAUCUUCGAAAUCCUAAUUUCAAUAAUUUUAAUUUAAUUAUACCAAUUGUUGAUUCUAAUUUGUUUAUAGGUUUUUGUCCGUUUAUUGGAUUUGAUUGAUAAUUCAACAUAGAUAAUUAAUAAAAGCAAUAAUAAGGAAAGUUAAACAACCAUACAAGCAACCAAUGAGAAAAAAACGACGGGUUCUAAUCCAAACAGAUCAAAUCCCACUAUAAGGAGAAAGGUAAUACAACUUAGGUCUUAAAUUCUAAACCCCAAAAUCACCUAGUUAGUAGUUAUCAUAGAUUCAAACUUACACCAGAUGUCCUCCUUGGAUUCUGUUUCUGUUGAUUUCAGAAUUCGAUUCUCUUGCGAUCUAGUUUGUUGUCGUGAUUGAUCUCCUCAUUAGCCAUCCAAACAAGAAGUUUUGUUUGAUGAACAAAUAUUGAGAUUUUUCGCUUGUUAUUCUUCAAGAACGUGUCUUCUUCAGUUCUUUGGAAUAACAAAAGAUCACUCAUACAACUAAAUGAUUUAAGAUGUUUGUAAGAAAGAAAGAGAAAAAAAAAAGAAAAAGAAAAAGAAAAAAGAUUCAGAUGUUCCUUGCAUAUCACCAGACAAAAAGUGUAGGACGAUUUUACGCUGCUAUAUAUAAUUGCUUAUAGACAUGCCAAGUUCUUAUGUGCUAAAAUCAAUGGUUUAUAUUGGAAAACCCCUUUAUCAACUGAUAUUUUGUAUUGUUGAGUUGAAUUGGGCCUUCUUCUCUUCAUUUUCUUUUAUUCAUUGAGUGCAAGUAACGGCAAAGGUCCUCGGUGCAUGUGCCUUACACAUGCAGGAGCACACCACACAGACACAGCCAUACAGCAUGGCUUAAUUGUGGAUCGUAUACAAUCAUCAAGUUAUGCUUUAGUUAAGGUUGCAAAAGCUCUUUCGUAGUUAUAUCACCAAAUGUGCGUAGCUUUCAAUUUGUGCACUCUUUGUACAUUGAGCUGUUCUCUUUGUUUUAUUGAGGAAGACUUGCAAUGGCUUCUUCCCUAGGACUAUUUACAAAAAAAUAUUUUGCCUUGGUGAAUACCCACAAGUUUUUGCUACUUUGCGGUGAGUUACAUACAACUUGUGCUCAAAACUUGCUAAUAUCUUCAUUCAAACAGACUUUUAUUCAUUGAGCAGUUUUUAGUGAUGGGUUAUUACAUUAAGAUUAAUUUCUUUUAUAAUUGGUAGUAGGAAUUUUGUGGGAAAAUUUCCGGCCAUGCCUCUGUUUGACUGUUUGUCUGUGGAAGAUGAGCCAUAUUUGGCGCCACAUUUUUGUUUUUGUUUCUGGUAGAGGUACUUGCACAAAGUUGAUACUCAGCUCUUGGUCGGUGCAUGAAUGGGUGGGGAGUAUGACAUGGUAUGUAUCUCUAGAUAUUUGUUGGGGAUGCGUCUAUCUGUCAGAUUUAGAUAAUUCUGGUUUGCAAUAUAAUUGUGCCAGACUUUUGUUAUGUGAGAUUUAGAUAAUUCUGGUUUACAUGUAUAACCUCAGUUGAUACGCAUAUCAGGGUCCAUAUAAUAUAGUGUUUGGUUCCAGUUGCUUUAGUGUACUUGUUUCUCUAGCUAAGUUUAGGUGGUUUUGCGACAAGCUAGGUUUGUUUAAAUAUGUUAGCUAAAUGAUGUUAAGACAUUUCUCAAAUUCUUAUUUCUAAUUAUCUUUUAGGAGCUGUAUCUUCUUCAAAAAAGUUCUUGUUGGAAUGACUAAAUUAAGAAAGAAUUGUAUUCUUUGUCGAGUAAGAAAUUUGGGUUAGGAUUCUCACAAGAGAAGUGAGCUUGCAAGGAUAUCUGUUUGAAAUCUAUGCAAAUUUGAAUGCAUUCGAGAGAAGAAGAGCUCGUGAGGAAUUUGUUAUUUUCAGCUCAUAGGGCUUGUAUGGAUGUUUUUGAGAGAUGAAAGAACAUUUGGAGCAAUGAAACAAAGUGAUAGGUGUUUCAGCAUAUCGGUUGUUAGGAUACACUGUAGGAAGAAUUCAUGCACCAGGUGUAUUUUGUGUUUGCGUAUUCUAUCUUUUGUAAUUCCUCUAUAAACAUAGUGAAUUAUCUUUUGUCAUCCAUGUACGCAUGUUUGCCAAACCAUAUUAAGUGUCUUUGUGUUUGAUUUAAGCCCAUUUAAGAUUGGAUCUCAAUCCUGGCACAGGUUAUAUAAGAGUUUAGAGCAGAACAAAUGAAGCUACUUCUGAAUAGCUGUUAGUUGUUACAGUUUGUGAAUAUGCUACUUCAGGUGAUUCACCCAUCAAGCAGGCCGGAGCAGUGGUUGUGUAAAAUAAUAAUGGUAAAAAUUAGGUUUUUAUGUGUGGUGGUGGUGUUAUUAUAAAGCUAGAGGCAGUGGUAAUGCUUUUUUGUUUAUGCAGUCAGUCUACAUGGUUAAUGUAUGUAUGAAAAUAGCUGCAUAUGGGUAUUGUUGUUGUUGCUGCAUUUGAUGACUAAUGGGUAGUUGAUUUAUUAUCAGGCGUGUUCUUGUAAAGACAAUUCAACUAGUAGGGUUCAGUGCAUCCAAAAUCAGAUACAAAACGUGGGGUUGCCUUAUUUUCAUUAAAUUAGUAUACUUUUUCUUACACUCUGUUUGGGAGAACCGAAUUGUUUGAUCUAAAUUUGCUCCAAAUUUAAAUACAGAGUCCCAAAUUUAGCAUUUGAGCCCAGUUUUCAAAGUGGUACCAACAGAUAACAUGUGGAGUAGUGGUUUAAGUUGACAAUUAAGUAAAAUAAAUCUGAUCAAAUCAUAAAAAAAUUAAGUUUGAAUUCUUUGCGGUAAUGCAAACACAUAUCAAAAAUCCAAAAGAAUUUGGUAAAAUAAAGACUAGUGUAUCAAGUGGACAAUUAACAAGGAUUCGGACCUCCUGAGAUCUCCAAAUAAAAAAAGAAAAAGAUUAUUAUUAUUUUAUUUAUUUUUAAUUUUUGUGUCUCCACAUAAUUCUUACAAUAUUUUAGAAAAAAAAAAAAAAAAAAAAUACUUGUAUCCAACUUAGGUUGGAUGAACUUGAUCCAAUCAAAGUACAUGACCCAAUCAUUCUAUGACAAGUAUCCAAAAGCAUUACUAGAAUUACGCUGGAUAUUACCAAUUAUUCGGGUUUGACCCGUUCAGAACUAAAGCUUUCAGAACUCAAUUUUUUUUUUUUUUUUUUUGGCUUGCUUUAAGAAUUCUCAAGAUCAAGCUCCUUUUGCUCUCUCUCUCUCCAGCAAUGCCCUAUCUUUCUCCUUUUGCCCUCUUUCUCUCAAGACGAUGACGAUGACGAUGCCGAUGCCCUAGUUUUUCUGUUACUGUAUUCGACAUCAGAUCAAAGCCCCUGAUCUCACUCUCAUUUGGUUCAAUUUUUCUAUUCCACAUCAGAUCGAAGCCUCUGGUCUCACUCUCAUUCGGUUCAAUUUCUGUAUUCAACAUAAAAUUGAAGCCCCAGGACAUGUAAAAGAGGUGGCAGAUGACGAUCCACCACAAGUUUAGACGAGAUUGGAGGCCUAUUUUAUUUUGCUAUCUUUUGUAUUUGAGCUCUAAUAUUUUUGUAAAUGUUAUCUUAAUUAUUUUGUGAAACUUUAAUUUAAUUAGUAUAAUGUUUUAAGUUAUGAACUUUUAAAUUUUAGCUAUUUUUUAUGGACUGUAACUUGAUAUAACUAAAGUGUGUUCCUUGUUUGGAUGAGAUGGAGGAACGGGACUUUGUAUAUGUAUGUAAUCAUUUUAGGAAUGUGGUAUAAUAUUUGUAUUGUGCGUUGGGACAUGAUAGAUUAAUUUUAAGGCUAAUUGAGGCCAUUGCAUUUUUAUGUGUUUUAA
Cornus florida is the source of this 5192-nucleotide long non-coding RNA. RefSeq lists it as uncharacterized. NCBI's taxonomy places the organism in Eukaryota, Viridiplantae, Streptophyta, Magnoliopsida, Cornales, Cornaceae. The record is from RefSeq and is a predicted model, not a curated record. The transcript has 2 exons.